Molecule: long non-coding RNA, 310 nt
Filed under: Ananas comosus (pineapple)
Lineage: Eukaryota; Viridiplantae; Streptophyta; Magnoliopsida; Poales; Bromeliaceae
Description: long non-coding RNA (ACOM_LNC035295)
Source: RNAcentral
GACGGUUCAUAUGUUCACAGAUUAUGGAACAGGAGCUAAUCAAUAUUAUUGAACAAAUUUGGAUUCGGACUUCAACACAUAUUUUUUCUUCCAUUGUAACUGACUUUUAUAUUUCAUUAAGUUUGCUUGAUACAGAAAUAGAGAACAAGAGAGAAAUAGAUAAAAACUAAUCUAAUAGUGAAAGUAUCAAACUCACCGCAACUUCAGUUCGCAAGAAAAUACCGGGUUGACUAAAUUUAUGUACACCCAUGCAAUCGAGCUUAUCAAUUAUAUGAAAAUACACAUUAAUCACCUAAUUAAGAAAGUCAUC